Molecule: ribosomal RNA, 301 nt
Filed under: uncultured bacterium
Lineage: Bacteria
Description: partial 16S ribosomal RNA
Rfam family: Bacterial small subunit ribosomal RNA
Source: RNAcentral
CAGCCGCCGCGGUAAUACGAAGGGUGCAAGCGUUACUCGGAAUUACUGGGCGUAAAGCGUGCGUAGGUGGUGGUUUAAGUCCGUUGUGAAAGCCCUGGGCUCAACCUGGGAAUUGCAGUGGAUACUGGAUCACUAGAGUGUGGUAGAGGAUAGUGGAAUUUCCGGUGUAGCAGUGAAAUGCGUAGAGAUCGGAAGGAACAUCUGUGGCGAAGGCGACUAUCUGGGCCAACACUGACACUGAGGCACGAAAGCGUGGGGAGCAAACAGGAUUAGAUACCCCUGUAGUCCCUGUCUCUUAUAC